Long non-coding RNA from Amphiprion ocellaris (clown anemonefish), 1560 nucleotides. Lineage: Eukaryota; Metazoa; Chordata; Actinopteri; Pomacentridae. The record is from Ensembl.
GGCCUACUGCGAUGCAUUUAUUAAGUAUUUUCUUUGCAACAAUCACACAGCACAUACAUACGUAUAUGUUUGCUCUUCAUCUUAACCUACAGUUUUCUAUGAAAUAAGGACCUCAAUGAUGAGCAACUUAAGCGUUAAGUUAGUAAACUCAAAACAAGGCAAAAAAAACAUCUGGAUGGCAAAGGCAGGCGGCCAAAAACCCUCUUCACACUGCAAAUCUUCUCAGGGGGUUUGCACCAAAGUUAAAAUGAAACAAAUGGAAAUGAAUAAAGGCCUACAUAUAUAUAUAUAUAUAUAUAUAUAUAUAUAUAUAUAUAUAUAUAUAUAUAUAUAUAUAUAUAUAUAUAUAUAUAUAUAUAUAUAUAUAUAUAUAUAUAUAUAUAUAUAUAUUCUUUUAAAAUAUACAAUGCAAAGGUAAGAACAUACAUAGAUCUACAUGCCUAAUAGCAAAGUCUUCAUUGGUGCAUAGAAAACUCGCACAUCUACCUGUAAGUGCUUAGAACAGACUGCAUGUGACAAAUACCGACUUUUUGUUUACCAGAGAACAGUGCAGCCAAAAGCAGCAUUCCUGCUCAAACUAAACAAAGGGGAAAGUAAUAAAAGUGUUUGAUAUGACUGUGAACUGGUAAACACACAGAGACUCAGCAACCUUGAUAAUAACAACACUGUUUGACAUUGAUUUGAGGUGUUCAGAGUUUAUUAUUUGAUGGGAUUAAUUGCGUACUGUUUGCAUAUAGAACAUGACGACGCUGGCUCUGUGUGCAGCUCCAGAUAUAGGUAUGUCUGGUAACCUGUUUGAGAAUAAAACUACUCCUACACAGCGGCAACUGAUUAAAAUGAGAAAAAGUAGAAGGAGUUGUUAUUCUGUGACUUUUUAAAAGUAAUAAAAACACUUAGUAUCUCUGUUAAAUAUAAACACACAUCAGCUGGUAUUACUGUAGAAGCUGUUGUGUUCCUUCCAGUCCUUUGUGAUUAUCCUUCCUCUCUGUCUGCAACAUUAGGUACCUGUGAUUUAUGUCACAUUCCACACUUGCUUUCACAUCAUUUGUGUAAAUUAUCCUGAUUAGAACCUAACUUGUAGGUUCACUGAAGGCACACAGUAUCUGAAACGAGCUGACAGAAAGAUAUCUACACAGCUGACGCAACUGGUAUUUACAGAAAAAUAACAACAACAUGGCGUCACUUCUGCAAAUGUGACGCUUCAUUGCAUUCAAAGUAGGGCUUUGGUGUAUUGCAAUACUUCAUUACUGGGUCAAACCCCUGUUAUGUUCUGCAUAAAGGAGACUUCAUUAACACCCCUGUUAGAAUACACACAUCAGGAUGUGAUGCAUUCAGUCGAUCAAUCCUCUACAACAAGAAUUGUUAACAUCCACUCCUACAGUUCCCCCUCACAUCCACCAGGUGUCUCCAUCCACCUGUUAGUAGGAGGCGGUAGCAGCAGUGACAGAAGCGGAGCAGCUGGGCUGGAUGUGCUUCAGGUGGCAGGAGUGGCAGAGGAGGUGUCCGUUCAGAGGGUAGCAGCGGUGACCCUCCUCGUCGUUCAGCUCCAUCUUACAGUCC